RNAcentral lists this microRNA precursor (105 nucleotides) under Marmota monax (woodchuck). The record is from RNAcentral. Lineage: Eukaryota; Metazoa; Chordata; Mammalia; Rodentia; Sciuridae.
AUACAAAUCACCUUGGGGUCAUGUUGAAACACAGGUUCUGAUUCAGUGGAUCUAGGGUUGUACCUGAGAUUCUGCAUUUCUAGCUAGAUCCCCAGUCAUGCUAGU